GACGAACGCUGGCGGCGUGCCUAAUACAUGCAAGUCGAACGCAUUUUCUUUCACCGUAGCUUGCUACACCGAAAGAAAAUGAGUGGCGAACGGGUGAGUAACACGUGGGUAACCUGCCCAUCAGCGGGGGAUAACACUUGGAAACAGGUGCUAAUACCGCAUAAUUCCAUUUACUGCAUGGUAGAUGGAUGAAAGGCGCUUUUGCGUCACUGAUGGAUGGACCCGCGGUGCAUUAGCUAGUUGGUGGGGUAACGGCCUACCAAGGCUGCGAUGCAUAGCCGACCUGAGAGGGUGAUCGGCCACACUGGGACUGAGACACGGCCCAGACUCCUACGGGAGGCAGCAGUAGGGAAUCUUCGGCAAUGGACGCAAGUCUGACCGAGCAACGCCGCGUGAGUGAAGAAGGUUUUCGGAUCGUAAAACUCUGUUGUUAGAAAAGAACCAGGAUGAGAGUGGAAAGUUCAUCCCUUGACGGUAUCUAACCAGAAAGCCACGGCUAACUACGUG
RNAcentral lists this ribosomal RNA (507 nucleotides) under uncultured bacterium. Its description in RNAcentral is "partial 16S ribosomal RNA". It matches the Rfam family "Bacterial small subunit ribosomal RNA", at positions 28 to 507 of the family's 1533-position model. The record is from RNAcentral.